GACGAACGCUGGCGGCGUGCUUAACACAUGCAAGUCGAACGGAAAGGCCCUGCUUGUGUGGGGUGCUCGAGUGGCGAACGGGUGAGUAACACGUGAGUAACCUGCCCUUGACUUUGGGAUAACUUCAGGAAACUGGGGCUAAUACCGGGUAGGAGCUCCUGCUGCAUGGUGGGGGUUGGAAAGUUUCGGCGGGUGGGGAUGGACUCGCGGCUUAUCAGCUUGUUGGUGGGGUAGUGGCUUACCAAGGCUUUGACGGGUAGCCGGCCUGAGAGGGUGACCGGCCACAUGGGGACUGAGAUACGGCCCAGACUCCUACGGGAGGCAGCAGUGGGGAAUAUUGCACAAUGGGCGGAAGCGUGAUGCGGCAACGCCGCGUGCGGGAUGACGGCCUUCGGGUUGUAAACCGCUUUCGCCUGUGACGACGCGUGAGUGACGGUAAUGGGUAAAGAAGCACCGGCUAACUACGUG
This 468-nucleotide ribosomal RNA is filed under the name uncultured bacterium. Its description in RNAcentral is "partial 16S ribosomal RNA". It matches the Rfam family "Bacterial small subunit ribosomal RNA", at positions 28 to 507 of the family's 1533-position model. The record is from RNAcentral.